UGGCUCAGGACGAACGCUGGCGGCGUGCCUAAUACAUGCAAGUCGAACGCUUCUUUCCUCCCGAGUGCUUGCACUCAAUUGGAAAGAGGAGUGGCGGACGGGUGAGUAACACGUGGGUAACCUACCCAUCAGAGGGGGAUAACACUUGGAAACAGGUGCUAAUACCGCAUAACAGUUUAUGCCGCAUGGCAUAAGAGUGAAAGGCGCUUUCGGGUGUCGCUGAUGGAUGGACCCGCGGUGCAUUAGCUAGUUGGUGAGGUAACGGCUCACCAAGGCCACGAUGCAUAGCCGACCUGAGAGGGUGAUCGGCCACACUGGGACUGAGACACGGCCCAGACUCCUACGGGAGGCAGCAGUAGGGAAUCUUCGGCAAUGGACGAAAGUCUGACCGAGCAACGCCGCGUGAGUGAAGAAGGUUUUCGGAUCGUAAAACUCUGUUGUUAGAGAAGAACAAGGACGUUAGUAACUGAACGUCCCCUGACGGUAUCUAACCAGAAAGCCACGGCUAACUACGUGCCAGCAGCCGCGGUAAUACGUAGGUGGCAAGCGUUGUCCGGAUUUAUUGGGGUAAAGCGAGCGCAGGCGGUUUCUUAAGUCUGAUGUGAAAGCCCCCGGCUCAACCGGGGAGGGUCAUUGGAAACUGGGAGACUUGAGUGCAGAAGAGGAGAGUGGAAUUCCAUGUGUAGCGGUGAGCGUAGAUAUAUGGAGGAACACCAGUGGCGAAGGCGGCUCUCUGGUCUGUAACUGACGCUGAGGCU
This 758-nucleotide ribosomal RNA is filed under the name Enterococcus faecalis. Its description in RNAcentral is "bacterial SSU rRNA". It matches the Rfam family "Bacterial small subunit ribosomal RNA", at positions 20 to 753 of the family's 1533-position model. Lineage: Bacteria; Bacillati; Bacillota; Bacilli; Lactobacillales; Enterococcaceae. The record is from RNAcentral.